This 97-nucleotide non-coding RNA is filed under the name Clostridium sp. Its description in RNAcentral is "NiCo sequence". It matches the Rfam family "NiCo (Nickel/Cobalt) riboswitch aptamer". The record is from RNAcentral. Lineage: Bacteria; Bacillati; Bacillota; Clostridia; Eubacteriales; Clostridiaceae.
ACAGUAAAACUGAGCAGGCGAUGCCUCAAAAGGCGUAGGGCCGGGCCGCUUUGCGGGCGGCAGCAGAUUGCAUUUUAUGCACAUCUGUGGGACAGUU